CCUGCAUGAAGCNGGAAUUGCUAGUAAUCGCGGAUCAGCAUGCCGCGGUGAAUACGUUCCCGGGCCUUGUACACACCGCCCGUCACACCAUGAGAGUCGGGAACACCCGAAGUCCGUAGUCUAACCGCAAGGAGGGCGCGGCCGAAGGUGGGUCCGGUAAUUGGGGUGAAGUCGUAACAAGGUAGC
This 186-nucleotide ribosomal RNA is filed under the name uncultured bacterium. RNAcentral's name for it is "partial 16S ribosomal RNA". It matches the Rfam family "Bacterial small subunit ribosomal RNA", at positions 1315 to 1500 of the family's 1533-position model. The record is from RNAcentral.